GAUGAACGCUGGCGGCGUGCCUAAUACAUGCAAGUCGAGCGAACGGACGAGAAGCUUGCUUCUCUGAUGUUAGCGGCGGACGGUUGAGUAACACGUGGAUAACCUACCUAUAAGACUGGGAUAACUUCGGGAAACCGGAGCUAAUACCGGAUGAUAUUUUGAACCGCAUGGUUCAAAAGUGAAAGACGGUCUUGCUGUCACUUAUAGAUGGAUCCGCGCUGCAUUAGCUAGUUGGUAAGGUAACGGCUUACCAAGGCAACGAUGCAUAGCCGACCUGAGAGGGUGAUCGGCCACACUGGAACUGAGACACGGUCCAGACUCCUACGGGAGGCAGCAGUAGGGAAUCUUCCGCAAUGGGCGAAAGCCUGACGGAGCAACGCCGCGUGAGUGAUGAAGGUCUUCGGAUCGUAAAACUCUGUUAUUAGGGAAGAACAUAUGUGUAAGUAACUGUGCACAUCUUGACGGUACCUAAUCAGAAAGCCACGGCUAACUACGUG
RNAcentral lists this ribosomal RNA (497 nucleotides) under uncultured bacterium. Its description in RNAcentral is "partial 16S ribosomal RNA". It matches the Rfam family "Bacterial small subunit ribosomal RNA", at positions 28 to 507 of the family's 1533-position model. The record is from RNAcentral.